Molecule: ribosomal RNA, 253 nt
Filed under: uncultured bacterium
Lineage: Bacteria
Description: partial 16S ribosomal RNA
Rfam family: Bacterial small subunit ribosomal RNA
Source: RNAcentral
UACGUAGGUGGCGAGCGUUGUCCGGAUUUAUUGGGCGUAAAGCGCACGUAGGCGGCUUUCUAAGUCAGGGGUGAAAUCCUGGAGCUCAACUCCAGAACUGCCUUUGAUACUGGAGAGCUUGAGUCCGGGAGAGGUGAGUGGAACUGCGAGUGUAGAGGUGAAAUUCGUAGAUAUUCGCAAGAACACCAGUGGCGAAGGCGGCUCACUGGCCCGAUACUGACGCUGAGGCACGAAAGCGUGGGGAGCAAACAGG